AACGCACGAGACCUGCGGACCUGCGGAGGGAUCAUUACUGAGUUCUAAACUCCAACCCUAUGUGAACUUACCACUGUUGCCUCGGCGCUGUGCCUGCGAGAGCAGGCCCGCCGGUGGACCACUAAACUCUGUUAUACCUACUGUAUCUCUGAAUUUAUAACUGAAAUACGUUAAAACUUUCAACAAUGGAUCUCU
This 195-nucleotide unclassified non-coding RNA is filed under the name soil metagenome. RNAcentral describes it as "partial contains 5.8S ribosomal RNA, internal transcribed spacer 2, and large subunit ribosomal RNA". The record is from RNAcentral.